Molecule: ribosomal RNA, 468 nt
Filed under: uncultured bacterium
Lineage: Bacteria
Description: partial 16S ribosomal RNA
Rfam family: Bacterial small subunit ribosomal RNA
Source: RNAcentral
GACGAACGCUGGCGGCGUGCUUAACACAUGCCAGUCGAACGGAAAGGCCCUGCUUUUGUGGGGUGCUCGAGUGGUGAACGGGUGAGUAACACGUGAGUAACCUGCCCUUGACUUUGGGAUAACUUCAGGAAACUGGGGCUAAUACCGGAUAGGAGCUCCUGCUGCAUGGUGGGGGUUGGAAAGUUUCGGCGGUUGGGGAUGGACUCGCGGCUUAUCAGCUUGUUGGUGGGGUAGUGGCUUACCAAGGCUUUGACGGGUAGCCGGCCUGAGAGGGUGACCGGCCACAUUGGGACUGAGAUACGGCCCAGACUCCUACGGGAGGCAGCAGUGGGGAAUAUUGCACAAUGGGCGGAAGCCUGAUGCAGCAACGCCGCGUGCGGGAUGACGGCCUACGGGUUGUAAACCGCUUUCGCCUGUGACGAAGCGUGAGUGACGGUAAUGGGUAAAGAAGCACCGGCUAACUACGUG